UGGGGAGUGGUCUAACGGUAGGACAACAGAUUCUGAUUCUGUCAGGUGAGGGUUCAAAUCCUUCCUCCCCAACCA
RNAcentral lists this transfer RNA (75 nucleotides) under Holophagaceae bacterium. Its description in RNAcentral is "tRNA-Gln". It matches the Rfam family "tRNA". Rfam says of the family: Transfer RNA (tRNA) molecules are approximately 80 nucleotides in length. RNAcentral also lists the same sequence under 4 other names. Lineage: Bacteria; Pseudomonadati; Acidobacteriota; Holophagae; Holophagales; Holophagaceae. The record is from RNAcentral.